This 28-nucleotide small RNA is filed under the name Bombyx mori (domestic silkworm). Its description in RNAcentral is "ovarian small RNA-24640". Lineage: Eukaryota; Metazoa; Arthropoda; Insecta; Lepidoptera; Bombycidae. The record is from RNAcentral.
UCAACUAACCAAAUGAGGAUAUGUGCAU